Molecule: long non-coding RNA, 391 nt
Organism: Felis catus (domestic cat)
Lineage: Eukaryota; Metazoa; Chordata; Mammalia; Carnivora; Felidae
Exons: 2
Source: RefSeq, a predicted model, not a curated record
GGGCUCGAACUCACGGACCGCGAGAUCAUGACCUGGCUGAAGUGGGAUGCUCAACCGACUGCGCCACCCAGGCGCCCCUGUUUGACUACUUUAAAAUGCACUCUAGAGGUUACCACGCAUCCCUGCAUCCAGGAAGGAAAAGGGCACAAUUUUGAAGAGAGAGAGAGAGAAAAAAUCCUGAGGAGGGCUUCGUGCUGUCAUUGUAGAGCCUGACUUGGGGCUUGAUCCCAUGAACCAUGAGAUCAUGACCUGAGACAAAAUCAAGUCAAGACACUCAACCAAUUGUGCCACCUUGGCGCCUGUCCUUAUUAUUCAGAUUUUUAUUUCAUUUAAGAAACAACAUCCGUAUAAAACCUAUAUCAGUAGUAAAUGAGAAGAUUUCAUAUUUGAA